Long non-coding RNA from Gallus gallus (chicken), 2030 nucleotides. RefSeq lists it as uncharacterized. The transcript is spliced from 4 exons. The record is from RefSeq and is a predicted model, not a curated record. Lineage: Eukaryota; Metazoa; Chordata; Aves; Galliformes; Phasianidae.
GGGAGCGAGGGGGGAGCUCUUCCCAAAGCCGCGUGGCCUCGGGGAGCCCCGCAGCUCCCACGCGCUGUGCCCGCGGCCCGGCUCUGAGCGGCGCUCCGGCGGUGCCCCGCGCUGAGUUUCAGAGAUUCUCCUCUGAGCUCUCCGUAUGGGAGCAUUCCUGCAUGAACUCCGCCAGCCCUCUCGCAGUGAACACAGAUGUGAACAACUCGCUUGGUUCUGCCUGCUGGGACCUCAUCUCCAGGUCAGAUCUUCCCUCCGCUGUGCCAUGUCUGCAGACUCGGGCAGCCUCUGCUCCUGAUGGCUUUUAAAAAUCACUUGUGUUUAGUUCAUAAAGGAUUUCUUCAUCCUGUAGGAGCAUCACACAGUGCUGUUUACUCACACCGCCUCCUUGUCCCCUCUCAAGCCUGUUGAUGGCAAACAAUGGAUGACAAAUGAUUGCCCCCAGUGCAGUCACACACGGGUUCCACACACCCCACAAGCACUCAGGGCUUUGAGCUGCCCCUUUUACAUUCACCAUUUUCAUUUAGAAGUCAUCAUCACAGGGCAAAAGCAUAUAAAGCUAUGUUUAUAUUGGGUGUGUUAAAAGGCUGAGGUAUCAGGUGAACACUGUGCCCUGCAGUACAUUACUUCAGACCUUGUGUUCCUUACACUAGCCACAGUUUUUAUCUGAACUGUGGGAUAGGUACCCCCACACCACCUGGAUGCAAAGGAAAAUACCUGGGGGGGAAGGAUAUUUCAUGGCGUGCUGACGUGUACACACCGCUGUGCUGUGGUUAUCAGCAGCUCAUGGCAGGAUCCUGCAGAGGUGGAUUUGGCUCUUCACAGCUGUGAGGAAGCCUUUCUCCAGGCUCUCCCAGGGUCCCGUGGGGUGUUCCCAGAAUUGACAACCACCAGAGCCAUUCACUCAUUCCUGGGACCUGAAGGAGACUGGCACGACCCACCAGCAGCAGCCCUGGGCACCCCAUGGGCUGCACAGGACACCAUGUGCAUCCAGCAGGGAACAGCCACGCGAUAGCAACACAGCCCGUGGCAAAGGCAAGGCAGCAGGACUGCAUGGACCUGGGCCACUGCCUUCUGCUCCCAAACACUGCAGCCAUCAGACCCUCCAGCAAGCUGGCAGGCAUCACUGCUCAGAGACACGGGGGUCCUUGUAGCCACCACUCUCCUCAGGCACACAGGGUUUGGAGUCAACAGCUGCACACUAAGGUGAGGAAAGUGGUCACAACUGUCCCCGCUCAGUGCUGCAGAAGUGUUUAAAUGCUCUAAGACUGCACUUUGCUAACGGUGAUGAGCAGUAGUACAAUGGAGAACUGGCACGAGUAACACCAGCCCUUUAGAAAGGCAAGGAGACAAUAUUUCCACCCUUCUCAGAUUAUCACCUCGGGUAAAAAUACUCCUUACACUCCACUUUAUAUUAAAAAAACUUACAAUUCAUUUAAAGCAAUUAAUUGUUUCCUUACAACAAUAACGUGGAAAGUUUGAACAGGUCCUGCUCGCCCUCUUUGUACCUAACAGCUCUUCAGGCAGCCCGAACAGAAAAGCUGAGGUGUAACCAUGAAUAGAGAGUUGCACCUUCAAAAUGUGCCCACCAAGAGAGCUUCCAGCAGGAAGCUUUAUGAGCUGUUAUUCACUGUGAUGCCUGAAGCACAAAAACCCACCCAAGUAGUAAUAAUUAAGAACUUCCUGAGCAGAUAUCAGAAACAAUAUAAUAUUGGCGUCCACAGCAGGCUGUUGUCUGACAGAUCGAAUACAAGCAAGACCAGCAUUGCAGCACAAAGUGGCAAAGUGAAUUCUGAUUGGAAAAUGAAUGUGACAGUUUUCAUGUUAAAAAAAAAAAAAAAUCUAUUUCAAGAAGCAUUCAGAGAAAGGCUCUGCUUCCAGAACCCAGCAACCCACAUUCUUCUGGCUGCGAAGCAAGGCCAACACCUGGUACUACAUCAGUCAGCUCCUCUGGAAGCUGUGAUACACCUUUAAGGCAAAAGUGAGAAAGGAAAACACCUUCAAGUUACACAUGAGAAAACACCUGAAAA